CGCACGGGUGAGUAACACGUAUGCAACCUGCCUGCCACAGCCGGAUAAUCGGGAGAAAUUCCGUCUAAUACGGCAUAAUGCAUCGACGGGACAUCCUGUUGGUGGCAAAGGUUAAUUCCGGUGGCGGAUGGGCAUGCGUCGCAUUAGUUAGUUGGCGGUGUAACGGACCACCAAGACGACGAUGCGUAGGGGUUCUGAGAGGAAGGUCCCCCACACUGGUACUGAGACACGGACCAGACUCCUACGGAAGGCAGCAG
RNAcentral lists this ribosomal RNA (257 nucleotides) under uncultured bacterium. Its description in RNAcentral is "partial 16S ribosomal RNA". It matches the Rfam family "Bacterial small subunit ribosomal RNA", at positions 99 to 354 of the family's 1533-position model. The record is from RNAcentral.